GUGGGUAUAAUUUAAAUAAAAUACUAGAUUGUGAUUCUAGAAAUAGAAGUUAAAUUCUUCUUACCCACC
This 69-nucleotide transfer RNA is filed under the name Pelobates cultripes (western spadefoot toad). RNAcentral's name for it is "tRNA-His". It matches the Rfam family "tRNA". From Rfam's summary of the family: Transfer RNA (tRNA) molecules are approximately 80 nucleotides in length. Their secondary structure includes four short double-helical elements and three loops (D, anti-codon, and T loops). Lineage: Eukaryota; Metazoa; Chordata; Amphibia; Anura; Pelobatidae. The record is from RNAcentral.